Molecule: transfer RNA, 72 nt
Filed under: Thermoplasmata archaeon
Lineage: Archaea; Methanobacteriati; Thermoplasmatota; Thermoplasmata
Description: tRNA-Gln
Rfam family: tRNA
About the family: Transfer RNA (tRNA) molecules are approximately 80 nucleotides in length. Their secondary structure includes four short double-helical elements and three loops (D, anti-codon, and T loops). Further hydrogen bonds mediate the characteristic L-shaped molecular structure. tRNAs have two regions of fundamental functional importance: the anti-codon, which is responsible for specific mRNA codon recognition, and the 3' end, to which the tRNAs corresponding amino acid is attached (by aminoacyl-tRNA synthetases). tRNAs cope with the degeneracy of the genetic code in two manners: having more than one tRNA (with a specific anti-codon) for a particular amino acid; and 'wobble' base-pairing, i.e. permitting non-standard base-pairing at the 3rd anti-codon position.
Source: RNAcentral
AGUCCCGUAGUAUAGCGGUUAGUACAUCGGGCUUUGGACCCGGGAACGCAAGUUCGAAUCUUGCCGGGACUG